RNAcentral lists this ribosomal RNA (101 nucleotides) under uncultured bacterium. RNAcentral's name for it is "partial 16S ribosomal RNA". It matches the Rfam family "Bacterial small subunit ribosomal RNA", at positions 1384 to 1482 of the family's 1533-position model. The record is from RNAcentral.
UACACACCGCCCGUCACACCAUGGGAGUCAGCUGUACCGGAAGUCGGUGAGCCAACCCGCAAGGGGGGCAGCCGCCUAUGGUAUGGCCGGUAACUGGGGUG